GAUGAAGAACGCAGCGAAAUGCGAUAAGUAAUGUGAAUUGCAGAAUUCAGUGAAUCAUCGAAUCUUUGAACGCACAUUGCGCCCGCCAGUAUUCUGGCGGGCAUGCCUGUUCGAGCGUCAUUUCAACCCUCAAGCUCUGCUUGGUAUUGGGCGUCGCCGGGGAGUCUCCCCGGCGUGCCUCAAAGCCAUCGGCGGUGGUGCCUUUCUCUAAGCGUGGUAGAAUUUUUAUUCGCUUCUGAGUUGGGCUUCGCCUGCCGGACAAACCGGGCCCUCGCGGCCCACCUUCUCAGGUUGACCUCGGAUCAGGUAGGGAUACCCGCUGAACUUAAGCAUAUCAAUAAGCGGAGGA
Molecule: unclassified non-coding RNA, 349 nt
Filed under: soil metagenome
Description: partial contains 5.8S ribosomal RNA, internal transcribed spacer 2, and large subunit ribosomal RNA
Rfam family: 5.8S ribosomal RNA (bases 1-120)
Source: RNAcentral